Molecule: ribosomal RNA, 469 nt
Filed under: Flavobacterium psychrophilum
Lineage: Bacteria; Pseudomonadati; Bacteroidota; Flavobacteriia; Flavobacteriales; Flavobacteriaceae
Description: bacterial SSU rRNA
Rfam family: Bacterial small subunit ribosomal RNA
Source: RNAcentral
AUCUACCUUUUACAGAGGGAUAGCCCAGAGAAAUUUGGAUUAAUACCUCAUAGUAUAGUGAGUUGGCAUCAACACACUAUUAAAGUCACAACGGUAAAAGAUGAGCAUGCGUCCCAUUAGCUAGUUGGUAAGGUAACGGCUUACCAAGGCAACGAUGGGUAGGGGUCCUGAGAGGGAGAUCCCCCACACUGGUACUGAGACACGGACCAGACUCCUACGGGAGGCAGCAGUGAGGAAUAUUGGUCAAUGGGCGCAAGCCUGAACCAGCCAUGCCGCGUGCAGGAUGACGGUCCUAUGGAUUGUAAACUGCUUUUGCACAGGAAGAAACACUCGGUCGUGACCGAGCUUGACGGUACUGUGAGAAUAAGGAUCGGCUAACUCCGUGCCAGCAGCCGCGGUAAUACGGAGGAUCCAAGCGUUAUCCGGAAUCAUUGGGUUUAAAGGGUCCGUAGGCGGCCAGAUAAGUCAG